Long non-coding RNA from Homo sapiens (human), 303 nucleotides. RefSeq annotates it as CDH12 antisense RNA 2. NCBI's taxonomy places the organism in Eukaryota, Metazoa, Chordata, Mammalia, Primates, Hominidae. The record is from RefSeq and is a predicted model, not a curated record. The transcript has 2 exons.
GCAGUGGACACUUCACGGCUGGCACAGGAGAGAUCACAAGGCCUUGCUCAAUUUCAUCAAAAGUGUUAAAGCGACUCAGCAGAUUGUGAAGCACAAGUGGAAGCUGAUAAUUGGUGUUUCUUACAAAUCAACGGCUUGUCUCCACACAUCAAGGUGAGAAAAUCAAUGUAAAAGAGGAGAAAUAACCCACACAACUACAUACAACUAGGAAAUGAUAGUUGGAUCUGAACAAAAGGAUAUGCACUCUUAACAAGUUCAACAUCCAAGUACUAUUGCAAGUACAAGCUGUAUUUCAUGGAAAAA